AUGUACCACUCGUACACUCCGGUUCUGAGCGCGCUGUCCGCACCCACCUGACGACUGCUCGCUACGUUUUGUUAGCC
This 77-nucleotide small RNA is filed under the name Xanthomonas populi. RNAcentral describes it as "sX9 sRNA". It matches the Rfam family "Xanthomonas sRNA sX9". Lineage: Bacteria; Pseudomonadati; Pseudomonadota; Gammaproteobacteria; Lysobacterales; Lysobacteraceae. The record is from RNAcentral.